This 1343-nucleotide ribosomal RNA is filed under the name uncultured bacterium. RNAcentral describes it as "16S ribosomal RNA". It matches the Rfam family "Bacterial small subunit ribosomal RNA", at positions 28 to 1378 of the family's 1533-position model. The record is from RNAcentral.
GACGAACGCUGUCGGCGUGCUUAACACAUGCAAGUCGAACGGAAAGGCCCUGCUUUUGUGGGGUGCUCGAGUGGCGAACGGGUGAGUAACACGUGAGUAACCUGCCCUUGACUUUGGGAUAACUUCAGGAAACUGGGGCUAAUACCGGAUAGGAGCUCCUGCUGCAUGGUGGGGGUUGGAAAGUUUCGGCGGUUGGGGAUGGACUCGCGGCUUAUCAGCUUGUUGGUGGGGUAGUAGCUUACCAAGGCUUUGACGGGUAGCCGGCCUGAGAGGGUGACCGGCCACAUUGGGACUGAGAUACGGCCCAGACUCCUACGGGAGGCAGCAGUGGGGAAUAUUGCACAAUGGGCGGAAGCCUGAUGCAGCAACGCCGCGUGCGGGAUGACGGCCUUCGGGUUGUAAACCGCUUUCGCCUGUGACGAAGCGUGAGUGACGGUAAUGGGUAAAGAAGCACCGGCUAACUACGUGCCGGCAGCCGCGGUGAUACGUAGGGUGCGAGCGUUGUCCGGAUUUAUUGGGCGUAAAGGGCUCGUAGGUGGUUGAUCGCGUCGGAAGUGUAAUCUUGGGGCUUAACCCUGAGCGUGCUUUCGAUACGGGUUGACUUGAGGAAGGUAGGGGAGAAUGGAAUUCCUGGUGGAGCGGUGGAAUGCGCAGAUAUCAGGAGGAACACCAGUGGCGAAGGCGGUUCUCUGGGCCUUUCCUGACGCUGAGGAGCGAAAGCGUGGGGAGCGAACAGGCUUAGAUACCCUGGUAGUCCACGCUGUAAACGGUGGGUACUAGGUGUGGGGUCCAUUCCACGGGUUCCGUGCCGUAGCUAACGCUUUAAGUACCCCGCCUGGGGAGUACGGCCGCAAGGCUAAAACUCAAAGGAAUUGACGGGGCCCCGCACAAGCGGCGGAGCAUGCGGAUUAAUUCGAUGCAACGCGUAGAACCUUACCUGGGUUUGACAUGGAUCGGGAGUGCUCAGAGAUGGGUGUGCCUCUUUUGGGGUCGGUUCACAGGUGGUGCAUGCCUGUCGUCAGCUCGUGUCGUGAGAUGUUGGGUUAAGUCCCGCAACGAGCGCAACCCUUGUUCACUGUUGCCAGCACGUUAUGGUAGGGACUCAGUGGAGACCGCCGGGGUCAACUCGGAGGAAGGUGGGGAUGACGUCAAGUCAUCAUGCCCCUUAUGUCCAGGGCUUCACGCAUGCUACAAUGGCUGGUACAGAGAGUGGCGAGCCUGUGAGGGUGAGCGAAUCUCGGAAAGCCGGUCUCAGUUCGGAUUGGGGUCUGCAACUCGACCUCAUGAAGUCGGAGUCGCUAGUAAUCGCAGAUCAGCAACGCUGCGGUGAAUACGUUCCCGGG